CGCGCCGUCGAGGUCCCCGCGUCGCCGCCCUCUGCCUUUCGUAACUCGGCGCGGGGUCUGGGUUUGCAGGGCUUUGAAAACGAGCCCCCGGCGCCUUGCGCCCUCUCUUCCGGCGCUCUGGCCGCAGAUUCGGGUAGCGCCGGCCACCGUGGACCAUUUUUCUUUUUUUCCUGCUUCGCGGCGUUCCAGGAUUUUCUCUUCCGGGUCGCUCUGAGGCACGGUCAGGGGUGCCAGCAUUCCCGGUUUGGCAUUGAACCCUCGGACUCUGCAAACACCAUUGAGGGGAAGCCCCCUUUUGCGCGUGCGCCGCGCCUCCUGAGGCCGGGAGCUAAGUCGGGCUGGCAGGGCCAGGUGGCACAUAAGCUCUGCCUCUGGGUUUCUAUUUGGCGUCAUCCGUGUGCAGAGGCGGCUGAGAUUUCGGCAACACAACAGCCUGGCCUUGACUGCAGCUCCAUCCCCAGCUCGGUGGCCCUCUUCGUCUGCAUUUUUCCCCCUCCAGAGGUUGCCUAGGAGGUUUGUGUAAUUGCCUUGUGCUCGGGAGGUCACAUCUCACUUGACGUUUGCAGAAACCAAGUUCAGAUGGGGCGCCUAUCACUCAUGGAAAACCCUUAAUACAGAAUAAUCUUCAGAAAUACUGAUGGUGAUUUAAAAAAAACGAUGUCUUCUUAGCAGCAAGGGCUAAAACUUUUCAACAGGGAAGAGGCAUUCAUUUUCUAUGGCUGCUAUAACAAAUGAGCACAAGCCUGGGGGCUGAAAACAGCAAAUUUAUUAUCUUCUAGCUCUGAGAAGAUGAGAAGCCCAAUGUGGGUCUCACUGGCUAAAAUCAAGCCAAGUCUUCACCACCAAAGACGGUGUUGCCAAUGUGAACUUUGCAGGAAAACAAAUCUGGUCACGGCUCCCUCCUUCUGGAGGCUCUUGCUGAGGUCCUUAUCCCCUGAAUAAAAAUGUCCAAGGAAACCAUGAAAAAGCACAUGCUUCCAAGCGACGGGGAAACACGGCCUCUCUCCUCUCCUUUCAAGCCGCGUGUCCACCAGGACAGCCACGGGCCCACACACCCUGCAGAGCCGUAUUUCUUUGCCCAGGAGAAGACAAACCGGCACUUAAUGCUAAGUUCCCAUUCAACCUGGGUUGGAUUCAAGCGAGUUAAACUGCAGUGCUGGUUGAUUUAGGAAAAGUUUGUAGCUUGACCCUGUCUGCCGCCCAGUGACACUUUGGUUUACGCUGAUGCUGAUUAGAGAGGGCUGUGGAGAUGGUUGGAUUUUCGAGCAUAAAUCAAUACACCUUCUAUGAGAAGGCGCUGCUGUAUAUAUAUGUUCAGACGGCAAGGACUUUUGGAAGACGCGCUGUUUGCCUGGGCAUGGUGGGGAUCUCCAAACAUAUAUACGAUGCAGUUUAUGACCCAAAGGAUUGAGACUCUGGAGAGACCGGCUGUCACAGGACACACCGAUGGAAGGAUGCAGUGAUGGUUUAGAGGAUUCCGGUUGUCAUAUCGAUUGGUUGCCUAAGAUGAGUCGAAGCUGCUUGAUAAUCGGUCGAGCUUCCUUAUCCAUCAUACCAGGGAUAAUCAUUCCUGCCCCGCUCCGUCUUUAAGGACGGUUACACAGUGGCUAACGUCCACUGCAUGCUAAAUGCGCUCCUGCCCUAUUUGAAAUGCUGUCCACACAUCAACUCAUUCCGUCUUCACAGCAUCUGGAAAAAUCGAUACGACAAUCCACCUGGUGCAGAUAAAGACAUUGAGGCAGAGAGUUUAAGUCAUGUGCUCAAGGUCACGCAGCACUUCCAUGGAUGGAGAUUAGGUCAAGAGCUGCCCAGGGCUUAUGACAAAACUCCUAGAAAGUUCCUUCUGUGUUGAAUCCAAGUCUGCCUGGAAUUCCUACCCAGUUGCUCAUGGUCCUAUGCUCCGGGUCUAAAUGAAGAAAUGCACCUGUUCUUCCCCAGGUCAGCCCUGCCCUUCAGUAGAGGCCACGUCUUCCCUCCCAUCCUCUGUAAUCUAAACAGCCUCAGUUCUUGAAGCCAUUUCACAUCUAUCCAGUUUGGAGAGGUCUUUAUGCUGCUGUUAUCUGAUGGGGAGACACUGUGUGGUCAGGAAGUGUCCUACAUAGCAUUAGUCAGACCAUUCCCCCAUCCUGAGGAGAAAAAAAAGCUCAUUUUGGGGGGAAUCAUCUUUUUAAGGCCACACUUGUGGCAUAUGGAAGUUCCCAGGCUAGAGGUCGAAUUGGAGCUACAGCUGCCAGCCUACACCACAGCCACAGCAAUGCAGGAUCCGAGCCGCGUCUGUGACCUACACUAUAGCUCACGGCAAUGCUAGAUCCUUAACCCACUGAGCGAGGCCAGGAAUCGAACCUGCAUCCUCGUGGAUACUAGUCGGGUUCAUUACCACUGUGCCACAACAGGAACACCCCAAAAGGCUCAUUUUUUGUAGACAGUGUUUCUUUGCCUCUUCUUAUACCAUUCCUGUAACAGUAAGACCCAUAAACAAAUCCUAUUAUCUUCAACAAUAAAAACAGCUAAAGUGUAUUAUGGCUUAUUACCUG
RNAcentral lists this long non-coding RNA (2534 nucleotides) under Sus scrofa (pig). RNAcentral describes it as "lncRNA (ENSSSCG00000037997.3)". The record is from RNAcentral. Lineage: Eukaryota; Metazoa; Chordata; Mammalia; Artiodactyla; Suidae.